Molecule: ribosomal RNA, 253 nt
Filed under: uncultured bacterium
Lineage: Bacteria
Description: partial 16S ribosomal RNA
Rfam family: Bacterial small subunit ribosomal RNA
Source: RNAcentral
UACGUAGGUGGCAAGCGUUGUUCGGAAUUACUGGGCGUAAAGGGCGCGUAGGCGGCAAUUCAAGUCAUCUGUGAAAUCUCCGGGCUUAACUCGGAACGGUCAGAUGAUACUGCUUUGCUAGAGUGCAGAAGGGGCAAUCGGAAUUCUCGGUGUAGCGGUGAAAUGCGUAGAUAUCGAGAGGAACACCAGAGGUGAAGACGGGUUGCUGGGCUGACACUGACGCUGAGGCGCGAAAGCCAGGGGAGCAAACGAG